Non-coding RNA from Macaca mulatta (Rhesus monkey), 8844 nucleotides. NCBI's taxonomy places the organism in Eukaryota, Metazoa, Chordata, Mammalia, Primates, Cercopithecidae. The record is from RefSeq and is a predicted model, not a curated record.
ACCCUGGAGAGGAAAGCGAGGCAAGAAACAGACACUGUGCCAGUGGCUCCUGAAGGGAUGCACACUCGGGGAUCUCGGAGAGGGUCCAGGUGAGGACGGCAAGGGCAGAGGAGCCUGUGGGAGGGGUAAGCACGAGGGAGGCCAAGGCCCUGAGAUGUGAGGCCCACAUCCUGCUGCAGGCGCUCUGCCUCCAGCAAGAGGUGGCUCUGGAGGACAACUCUCCACAGGCUUGGACAGCCAUGCUCCCAGACAAGAGCUUCUGCUGUGCUCCCAGAUGAGAGCCAGAGCCCCACCUGUCAGGAGGCCACACUCAUGCCCAGGACUUCUGGGCCUCGGCAGUGCUCCCAAGGGUGUGGCACCAGGUGCAGCAGGGCAGGUAUGUGGACCAAGUGCGCUGGGGAGGUGGAGGAAUAGCAACAUCCCGUGGGCCAACCAUCUCUUGUGUGUGCACACGGCACCUGUGUACCCAAGGUCACCCGUGUGCACGCCACCUCUCCACUCCUGGCAGCAGCCACCCUUGCACCACGUGGCUCUGUGCCCUGGCUCCACAGGACUCCCUGCUGCUGCCAGGAGCGAUUCCUGGAGUCCAGCUGGGGUCAGCAGGUGGAGGUAGCAGGGCCUCUGUGCUGGCUUUGGGACUGGACCAGCAGCAUUGCAGACGCCCUGGCUCACCCACCUGGGCACACCUGAGGCCUCUUGCCCUUAUCUCCCAGGGCCCUAGUGGUUCCCCUCCACCAUCCCAUCCCAAAGCUUCACCUUUCCAGUGUAGCCCCAGGCCCUAGAGCAGGCGUGUCCACCUUAUUGUACACACAGCGUUUGACUCGGAGCCCGAGACAUGUAUCUGAUACAAAUGGGGCUGUUCUGGAUGAGGGAGGGGGCACCCAGCCCCCAAGUCCGGCUCCCCAGCUCCCUGACUGCCCUGGCUCUGCUGAGCACCUUCGAGACCAUAUUGGAAGCUCUCAGCGAGGCUCCUGGACCCUGGCAUCCCCGAAACCCCCUGAGGGACCCACUUUGCCAGCUGCAUGUCUGUGUCGCACGGAGCUGUCUCCUUGCUCUGCAAGCAGGUGGAAUGCAGGAGCAGGCAGGAAAAUCCAACUCUUCCGAGUCAGACACUCGAGAGCUCUGCAGACACAAAGACAAUGCCACGCCGCCCCCUAAAUGCUUUUUGUUUUGGAAAAUACAGCUGUUUGUCAUAAGAUAACCGGAAGCAGCAGAGAAAACAUCUGAAGUGCUUCCUGGACACACUGGUUAGGAAGUUUCUGCAAGAACCCAGGUAAGAGCUGGACUAAGUGGGAGUCCGUGGGUGGGAGGAGGGAGAACGCCUGCGUGGGCGUUUACAGAGAUGAGUUUGCAGGGAUAAUGAUGCCGGGGUUUCAGGCUUCAGGCCCAGCCCCAGGAAGAGAACGGCAGCAGGAAAAGUUAGAGAGCGAGGAGUGGGAGCAGGAGGUAGAGAGCUCGGCCCCUCCUUCACUGCUGCCCUCUGGGUGACGCUCAGCGGAGGCACCACAUUGCGGCUGCGAGGGCCCCCGAGACAACCUCUGCACCGUUUAUGGGAUCCCAUUAGGGGAGCAGCGGCCCUGCAUGACCCCACAGGUGAGCAGGACACCUCAUCACAGGGUAGGCACGUGAGCAGACCUCACCCUCACACAGCUGCCUCCCGGGCUGCCCAGGUCAGGUGCUGAGAACACAAAAGAAAAUGAGACAAAGUCGCCACCCUGGAGUUUACAAGCUGGCGUGGGAGACAGGCUGGCACUGAGGACGACAGUGGAGAGACAGGGAGAGACAGUGGAGAGACACGGAAGAACCAGAGGUGCUGGGGAAGCCGGGUCAGCAGAGAGACCCCAGCAGAGUGGGAGCCGGAGGACGGCGGCGACUGCAGCCGACUGUUUCAGGUUCUCCUCCCCACUAGACUCGGAGAUUUUAACUUGAUCAUCUCUGCAAAGACCUUAUCUUCAAAUACAGUUACAUUCUGAGGUCCUGGUAGUUAGGGCUGCAACACCCGAAUUGGAGGGGACGUAAUCCAGCUCCUGACAAUACCGCAUAUGACAGCUGCGUCUCUGCCUGUAGUACUGUUUUUUCCAGUGAAAGCAUCUGUGAAUGUAUUCAGAAAGCCUCCUUUUGGGGCCAGGCCUUGCAGAGAAUCCUUCAGAAACUGGACAACGCCACCCAAGGCAGUCAGUGGGGAGGACGCAUUGGGUGCCUCAUUGGUCCCUGGAUCUGCCUCACAGUCCUCUAUGUUCUUCCUCAUUCCCUCUCCUCUUUCUCCGCUUUGGUUGACCUUGAAGCUCAUUCCUGGUGAAGGCCCCGGUGGGAGCAGUGCAGUGACAAGAGGAGCCUAUUUCCGUCAGCACCCUCACGCUCUCCAGUGGUCCACUGGAGACAUCUGUGACCUCCUGAUGCUAAGGAGCCCAGAGUGGGCAGCCCUCGGGCCCAGGCUCCAUCUGGAUGAAUAAACUGAGGCAAGAUAUAGUGACUCAGCUGAGGCCACACCGCAGUUUAAUGGGGAAGCCAGGAUGAGAGCUGGCGGCUUCUAUGUCUGUGAUCUACACUCUGGUGGCAGAGGACGUCAGAGACCCAUGUCAACGGUGAGGAGGUGACAUGCUGGUCCCUUCCAUAAAAGCUGUUUCAUAAAAUUAAAACACACACACAGUAAAGAUCCAGAUUUACAGAAGUGAGCAUGAGGGGCUAUUUACCAGUCAACAGAUCUCCCCCAGUGGUUCUUCACUUGGGGCUGAGAUGCUCCUGACCGGCAGGGCCUGGGGAGAGAACUUCUUGCUCCCCCUAGAGCUGGCUGACCCAUACGCAGGGGAUUCUGAGCGCUAGGGGCUGGGAGCAGCAUGUCCCACGUGUUUCCCAGGAGUUAGUCAUGUUUGCUCCUAAAACCUAUUGCAAUCGAGGAAUCUAAUUAAACAACACAGCAACUGCAGAAACAGUGCAAAAAGAAUGAGUGACUGUUUCUAUGAAAACUUAGAUGAACUACUUUGGAAAGAUUCAAUAAAGAGCAUGCCUAAAUAUAUAUACUGGGGCUAGGAGCAGUGGUUCAAACCUGUCACCCCAGUGCUUUGGGAGGCUAAGGUGGGAAGGUGGUUUGAGGCCAGGAAGUUGAAACCAGCCUGGGCAACAUAGCAAGACCCUGUCUCUACAAAAAAAAAAAAAUUCAGUUGGGUGUGACAGCACCUGCCUAUGGUCCCAGCUGCUCUGGAAGCUGAGAUGAGAGGAUCACUCCAGCCCAGGAGUUCAAGGCUGCAGCGAGCUGCAAUUGUGCCACCCUGGGUGACAGAGCAAGACUCUGUCUCUAAAAAAUACGUAAAAUAUGCACAUCCAGAUACAGUAUUAUGUGUGGGCGAGACACCAGUAAAAGAUGGAAACAAUCAUAAAAGUCAGGCGGAAUUCCACCUAAGAUUAUCUUUAACUCUCAAUCUACCUUGUUUUAAAAUCUUUUAAUGAGCCAUAAAAGACAUACGACUAGUCUUUAUUGUACAACUUGAUGAAUUCUGAUCCUGUGGCCAUACAGUUCAACACAGAGAACAUUCCAGCACUCAGAAAGCAUCCUAGUGCCCUCGUCGGUUGGUGUCUGUCAACCCCAAGGAUGUCACAGUCAUUUGGACUCCCCUGGCACAGUCAUUCCACUUAGAGACCCUGGCAGAAGUCCCAGAUCAUAAUCAGGAGUGAGAUUUACACAAGAAGGGGCAGAAAGCCCUAGUCAGUAGUGACCCCAACUCCAAAAUCACCCUACGCUCAAAAGAAAAGUGAAACUGUACUUUUUAUGUUUGAAAUUUAAGUAAGAGAGAUGUAUUUUUAUUAAAUCAUUCCAACCUUUACAACUUUUCUAUUCAUCAGCCAACGAGCCAGAGAAAGGGGGUUUUUGCUGUAGUCGGAGUAUAAAAAUGAGCUGCAAUUUUCAAAAUUUGACCUCAUCUAACUUUCUCCAGCUAUGCCAUUCCCGGAGCAUCCUCGGUCCAGUGCUUGGUGCAUAAAAUGUAAUAAAAGGGCGGCGCCACCACACCAAACGCUGGGGUGUCUGUAGCAGUGAGCGCGUCUCACGGGGAUUUUGUCUGAAUUCCUGUUCCUCCACUCGCCUAAUCCAUGGAGGUCAGGGAACCACCUACCUCAACGCACACAGUAGGUUCUUAAUAAAUGUUGGUCCAUGGAAGUCAAGUCAGCCCAUAAAGGGAAGAGUAGGAAACAGGUGUGCAGGGAGGGAGGAAUAAAGCUGCCCUGGGCCUGCCAGGCCUGGAGCCACCCCGCAGGGAGCUCUGGAGCCAGACAGCCUCCGAGCACCCCCAGCUGAGGGAAGGAGCUGGGCACAGCCCUGUGUCCUGUCUCUCAGCCAGUGGAGGAGGAGCUUGGUCAGUCCCUACAAAGGCUGCAGUGGAGAUCCGGCACCCCAGUACCUACCUACCCAUGAAGGCACAGGAGGAAAAUUCCAGAAACAAGGAGGCCCUUGUGAAGCCACACAGGUGUGGAACAGCGUGGCACGGAACUCCCGCAAUGCCCAUACCCCGUGAGGACGUAGGUCCCCAUCUGUCCCUGGAUGUAGUACAGUGGUUGUCCUCGAAGCCACUGGGGUCUCGGCCUGCUGGCUCUGCCCACGUCCCGUACUGGACGCCCUGGCUCAUAACCCCUCCCCACAGCACCCCCUCCUGCAUUCCUUGGCUCACCCAUGGGUCCCUCUUGGGAACGGCUCCCCAACUCCACUGCUUCAGGGAGAAGCAGCUUAAUGCUUCCCGAAGCUUCUCCAGCCCCACCCCACUUACCCCCAUGAUGUGAGCGCUUGGACCCACCGUCCCAGUGACCCUGCCUCCAUGGUAAAAGAGGGCCUGAAUGGGGGUUCUUCUAUGCGGGGGUCACGGGCUGAUUUCAGAAUCUGCGGACUGUUAUUGUGCUGCCUACACAGAAAAAUGAACAUAAGAGCUACAAUUUGCAUAAAAAUUCGGGAUUUAGGGAGCCCCCAUAGAAUCCCAAGACCAAAGACAGGUCUGCCGAUGAGAAAAUUUGGGGAAGUGACACCAGGUGUCCUAAUCCCCUGAAGCCCAGAACGUGUGUGCACUGCCGCGCGCUGCCCCGGAGAAGGUUCAGGCAACCUUCAGGUGAGGACUCUAGGCCCCUCCAGAGAACAUUCCUGAGCCCUGCGCCAACUGCCCUCUGUUCACUCCGCUCCAAGGGAGUCUCAGAAACCCUCAAAAGAGUGAUAAGAAGCCAUCUUACUAACGAAUCUCUGCCUCUUGCUGUGUACCAUAUUUAGAACUCUUUCUUAAGCUGAUAGGAAUUUUGCUAAAAGCACACAGAGAAUGUUUUCUCAUUGCCUUCCUCUCUGAGUCACGUAUUGCAUUCCCCCAAACACUCCCACAUUUAGUAAUGUGAAAAACAAUGAAAGAUUGGAAAGCCCAUAGAUGAAGGUUAAAUCAGUUCUGAUAGACCCUGAUGUGUGACAAAAUAUAAUGCAGCCAUUUAAAAUGAUGGAAUAAUACCUGAAAUAUAAAAACGUUUAAAAUGCAAACCCCAGAAGCAUCUACAGUAUAUCCCCAAUUUUCUAAAACACACAGGCAUACAUAGGCUUCUGAGAAAUGAUUAGAAGGAAAUAUGCCAAUGUGUUAAUAUUGGUUAUCUCUGGUAAGACUAAAGGUGAUUUUAAUUUUUUUUCUUCUUUCCUGUGUUUUCCAAAUUUUCCAUGGUAAGCAUACAUUGAUGUUAAUUUUUUGAUUGAAAAUUCUACUGGCUUUGUGGCCUGUCCUGUGUAAUCACAGCUGAGCUCACUCAUCCUCUGGGCUGUGGAACCAUAGCAAGGAAGGCAGCCUUUCCCCAGUGUGCCCUUGGGUUAUCCAGAUCCACCCAGAGCCUGGGUCUUGCUGGGUGCUGCCCGGGGGAUGCCAGGACACAGCUGAGUGUUGGCCACAGCUGAGUGCAGACACACAUGGUGCAGAGCACAGCGUGAUGCGCUGCGGGAUGAUGGGCUUUGCAAACCCCAGGAAGGGACAGCGGCUAGGUGCUCUGCCCCAAGUCCAGCCCACCAGGCCUCAGUGAGCACCCCUGGCUGUGACUUGGGCCAGCCCUCAAUCCACUCAGCCCCUGUCUCUCUGAACAUGCCCUGCCUUCCUGCCGGGCUGGCUGGGCUCUAGGAGGGAGUGUCCUGUGCAGGGCAGGAGGCACAUGUGAGCUCAAGGGCACACCAACCCUCUCACUAGUCAUGUGUUGGGCCCAGCACACGCCCGCUCUCUCGCUGCUCACCCCCACCAAGGUCAAGCUUCUGAACCCCUUCUUAGAGACAAGGAGACCUGGGCUUGGCCCUCGAGUUCACGGAGUCGCCAACAUGACAUACAUUAGGUAUUUGUCCUAACGCUCUCCCUCUCCUUUCCUCCCAGGUGAGCAGGUCCUGGGCACGGCCACACCCAAACCAAAGGUGCCCUUGGACAGGUCACUGUCUUCAUUGCUCAGGCUGGUUUGAGUCAGGUUCCCAUCACUUGUAACAAAUCCCCUGGAUUCCCAAGCCUCCGACCACACCCCUGCCUCAGGUCCUGUGCACUGCCCCAGCCUACAGCUCUCAUCACCUUGCAGCCCAUUCACCACUUUCAGCAUCAUCUCAUUUUCCAACAGGCUGAAAUCCAAAUGUGGUCACUCUCAUGAUCCAGUACUCCCCGUGACCUGGUCCUAAUCUGCAUCUCCACCAUCAUUGCCCAUCAUUCACUAGAUAUGCACACGCCUACGAUUGCAGGUACUCAGAUCAUGAGCACAUAUUGGAUGAAGCAGCAAACAGCCCUGCCCCCGGGGGGAAGACAGACACCAAAUGGGGAACAUGAUAAACAAGUAAAUUAUAUAGUAUGUGAGGAGAUUGUAAGUGCUUCGACAGAAAAGAAGAAGGAAGGGAGGAGGGAAGGAAGGGAGGAGGGAAGGAAGGAAGGAAGGAAGGAAGGAAGGAAGGAAGGAAGGAAGGAAGGAAGGAAAGAAGGGAAGGAGGGAGGGAGGAAGGCAGAGGGGGAGGGAGGGAAAAAGGAAAAAAAGAAAGAAAGAAAAUCUCCCUUUUCCAAAAACGAGAAUCCUGGCUUCCAACAGCACUGAUGGAAUCUUGUAUUUGCUCAAUCCUACAAGACAGAAAAUCAUUACAGAAUUGCUGCCCUGCACCAAAGUGAAAGCAAACCCACAAGUCGAGUUUGCAGAUAUUUGUUUGCAGGUAUUUUGUCUGCAGGUCAAGGUUUGUGGUCAAGGUUCCACGUUCAAUGUUACUUGAGUUAGUUUCUGUUGUGGUGCUGGGGUUGGUUUGUUGGUUUGGCUUCUUGACCUGUUUUGAUUUGGUUUGGUUUUGGCGUGGUCAUGUUAUUAUCUGACAUACGAUUAGCUCAUAUUUCCCACACUCUGUGAUAAACGUUGAUAAUAAGUCAGUCUCUGUAGACCAGCUGGAUUGUGUAUUCUCCCUGCUAACCCCAGAGCACACUGAAGGCAGGUGCUUAUUAUCUUAUUCAUCAUUAUAUCCUUAACACCAAUCACAAUUUUUGUCACAGAGUGGGUGCACAGUAGAUAUUUGUUAAAUUCAACCACUGAAUCUAAAGGGUUUCUGGAUAACUUUUUUGCAAAAUCCCUGUAAAUGCCAUAAUAAACAAUUUGCCUACAUAUUCAUAGACUAGCAUCCAAACCACAAGGAAUAUAUGAAUAAUUCAGACAUAUGAAGAGGAGAUGAAUGACUCAGAAUUUAGAACCCCACCUACUGUCCCCUGGUGAGGGGCCAGGGCUGCUCUCCAAGACCUACCUCAAGCCCUGUGCAGAACACGUAAGGUUCACCCACCUCCGAACGGAUGCUGUGCUCCCUCCGCCUCAGGCAGGGUGCUCCCGCACACACGGGCAGCUGCUCAGACAGAGAUGGUAUCAGGGCCCGUGGGGAUCUGGGAGUCUUGAACGCUCGUGGGAAGACCGAUAGACUUCCAGGAUGCCUUCCACGGAGCGGCUCGGGACAAAGUUGUGAAUGCAGCGGCCAAAAGAUCUGCAGUCCGUUGUGGGUUGAGUAGAGCUCCCCAGUGCGCCGGCAGCAUAGGGAAAUGCUCAGGAAAACGUGACGGCAGGUGUCCACUCUGAAAGCAGCCACGAGUCUUUGCUGAGGUCCUGCCGGGUCAGAUCCUAUGCUGGAUAUAACAGGGGAAGGCAUGCGUUUGAAAGGAUUUCUCAGCCGCAGACGCAAGCCACACGUCGCACUCAGUGAGAGACUGACAUCCAGGAACGUGGACCGAGGUGCAGCGGUGGGUCAAGGAGGCUGGACUUGAGAAUGACUUUCAGCCGCCAGGAUCUGGUGACCAGCUGGAUGUCAGGGACAGAAAGAAAGGCCCAGAUGGGGAAAACUCAGGGCUUCCCGUGUGGGAGGCUGCUCCACUCACCUGGACCCCAAGGGUCCUGGGGAAAGGGCCUAUUUGACAGCAGAACGAGCCGCUCACAAAACAGGAGAGAGAAGACAUCAUUUCAGACCUGAGGCAGCGCAGACCUAUUUGGAAAGAGGAAAUACACAGAUGAAGCCCUAAAAUCAGUCAGGUGAAAGGAAAAUAAAAUCUCAGGACCCAGUUCAUUCUGCCAAAGGGAAAAGCUAAGCUGGGAGCUGAGGCAUGCAAGCCUCUGCCUUUCCUUCUGCUCCAGAGCAAAUCGCUGCAGAGAACAGGCCGGGGGUCUCCACGGGGAGCUGCUCUUCUGCUGACUUUAUCUUAUGCAAAGAUGUGCUGAGCACCAGACAAAUACAUGAUGGAUGAUUCCUGUACCCCUGCUUUCCAAGGCGACGUGUGGAUUCAGACAUGUGACCACACCCCCUCCCCUUCCCCUCCUGCCUGCUUUUCCCCUUUCAGUACUAAAUCAAAAUCCUCUUUGGAAAAA